GCCGGAGUGGCGGAAUGGUAUACGCGAUCGACUCAAAAUCGAUUGAGGCAACUCGUGAGGGUUCGAGUCCCUCCUCCGGCA
This is a transfer RNA of 81 nucleotides. It matches the Rfam family "tRNA". From Rfam's summary of the family: Transfer RNA (tRNA) molecules are approximately 80 nucleotides in length. Their secondary structure includes four short double-helical elements and three loops (D, anti-codon, and T loops). Further hydrogen bonds mediate the characteristic L-shaped molecular structure. tRNAs have two regions of fundamental functional importance: the anti-codon, which is responsible for specific mRNA codon recognition, and the 3' end, to which the tRNAs corresponding amino acid is attached (by aminoacyl-tRNA synthetases). tRNAs cope with the degeneracy of the genetic code in two manners: having more than one tRNA (with a specific anti-codon) for a particular amino acid; and 'wobble' base-pairing, i.e. permitting non-standard base-pairing at the 3rd anti-codon position.